UAAAGAGUUCUAUAACUCCCAAACCCAUGUGAACAUACCUAACGUUGCCUCGGCAGGUCGCACCUACCUUGUAGCACCCUACCCUGUAGGGCCUACCCGGGAGGUGCGGGUAAGCCUGCCGGCGGCCCACCAAACUCUGUUUGAUAUUGAAUUCUGAACCUAUAACUAAAUAAGUUAAAACUUUCAACAACGGAUCUCUUGGUUCUGGCAUCGAUGAAGAACGCAGCGAAAUGCGAUAAGUAAUGUGAAUUGCAGAAUUCAGUGAAUCAUCGAAUCUUUGAACGCAUAUUGCGCCCAUUAGUAUUCUAGUGGGCAGGACCGUUCGAGCGUCAUUUCAACCCUUAAGCCUUCGUUGCUUAGUGUUGGGAGCCUACGGCAACGUAGCUCCUCAAAGUUAGUGGCGGAGUUGGUUCACACUCUAGACGUAGUAAUUUUUUAUCUCGCCUAUUAGUUGGACUAAUCCCCUGCCGUAAAACCCCCAAUUUAUCAAGGUUGACCUCGAAUCGGUUCAGACAAACUCGCUAAAUUGAAGCAUCUUAGUCAGCGAAGGAAAAGAAACCAACAGGGAUUGCCCUAGUAACGGCGAGUGAAGCGGCAACAGCUCAAAUUUGAAAUCUGGCCCUCGGGUCCGAGUUGUAAUUUGUAGAGGAUGCUUUUGGCGCGGUGCCUUCCGAGUUCCCUGGAACGGGACGCCUUAGAGGGUGAGAGCCCCGUACGGUUGGACACCAAGCCUCUGUAAAGCUCCUUCGACGAGUCGAGUAGCUUGGGAAUGCUGCUCUAAAUGGGAGGUAAAUUUCUUCUAAAGCUAAAUAUUGGCC
RNAcentral lists this ribosomal RNA (818 nucleotides) under fungal endophyte. Its description in RNAcentral is "eukaryotic LSU rRNA". The stretch from base 494 to 818 matches the Rfam family "Eukaryotic large subunit ribosomal RNA", at positions 1 to 328 of the family's 3401-position model. The record is from RNAcentral. Lineage: Eukaryota; Fungi.